UUGUGCUAACCUGCUAGUCAUGGUUUUCCAUGACCUUGGUACAUGGCAGGUGAUAUCAAAGUUGUUCCAUGCUAGGGAUUGCUUUUGAUUUUAGUUGCUUUCUCCUUUUCUGAUCUCAAUUCUUUUCUUUCAUCUUCCUAUUUUGUUUCUUCUUGAUCUCAUCUUUAAUCUUUUUUUUACUCUUUUAAUUUGUUGAUUACCAAACAUGAUUUCACAUUCAAAGUUAACCCUAAGACUAAGAGAGCUUAUACAAAUCUUUAACCUAAACACUAGAAAUAUUAGCAUGUUAUGUCGGCAAUUGGAAGAAGAUUUCAGCAUGUAUUUAUUUUAUAAGAAAGCAUAUAAAAGAACAAGCUGAGUUGUUUAUGUUUGAUCAAGACAAAAAUCUUGAUACUGAAGUGGGGGCUUUUGAAUCAAAUGAAGAAGAUGAUGAGCUCGUGCAAUCAUAAACUCCAGCUGAAAAAUCUAUUUUAAUGACUAUUGCUCCAUCAACAAACAAUCAUUGCAAAGGUGAUGAAGACAUCAAAGAUAUUACAAUCAUCAAUUCAAAAUCGUAAGAGUUUCUUCUAUAUUGAUCAGAUUGCUCUUAAUAUUUAUAAAAAUAGAAUGCAGGAACCAUGUGUAGAUUAACCAAUUUUUGAAUCAGAUUUUUGCUUAAUUAGUGGUAUAAUAAUUUCUAAGGAUUUAGAUGAUUGAUUUACUCAGAAAAAGGUUGUAUGUGGUUAUGCUUAUGGUGAUUGGUUAUGAAAAUUUCAAAGGAAAAUAGAAUUAAAAGAAGUAUACAAAUUGAGUAUUAUGCGCCUCCAAGGUGUUUGUGAAAAUAAAAAUGGGGAUUGUUGAUGCUAUUGUUUUCAUGUGCCUAAAUAGAUAUGUAAUGAUGUUUUCAUUCUCGAAGAAAUGGAGUUUGAGAAAUGGAGAAGGCAAAGGAAAAGAAUGAAAUUCUUGUUAACAUUUGCAAACUUUUGUAUCUUCCAUGUUAGCUUGUUAAAGAUAAAAUACCCUCAUGAAAAAGUAAUAUCAAGGGAAUGUGCUUUAAUUCCUAUGGUCCAAAUUAUUACUAAUGGAGGGCCUUAGGAGGACUACUAUUCAUGGUGUAUCAAGUUCCUGAAAUUUUCCUCAAGGACAAGGAAAAUGUCCAAAGGAGGGGUAAUGUCAGGAUUCUUAUGAGCUCAAGGACUAAGGUUGCAUUCCAAGCACAAUUGAUAGUGCCACAAUAGGAAGAUUCCAUGGGAAUAUCAGAAAUGUCUAAAGAAUUGGAGGGGAUUUUGCAAAAAAACUUGUUAUUUAUCUAUUAUUAAUUUAUUGUAUUAAUUGUCAAUGUCUUUUAGUAAAUUAGUUAGUAAAAUUAGUUGUUAUUUUGUUUGCCAAUAUCUAGUCAUGAUUUGAAUAAGAUACUUCUAAUAAUUUGUUAUUAAUAGUGCUGAGAUAUAUAUGGG
This 1436-nucleotide long non-coding RNA is filed under the name Ricinus communis (castor bean). Its description in RNAcentral is "long non-coding RNA (RCOM_LNC003169)". The record is from RNAcentral. Lineage: Eukaryota; Viridiplantae; Streptophyta; Magnoliopsida; Malpighiales; Euphorbiaceae.